Molecule: ribosomal RNA, 1215 nt
Filed under: metagenome
Description: bacterial SSU rRNA
Rfam family: Bacterial small subunit ribosomal RNA
Source: RNAcentral
AGGCCUUGCGCUCAUUGAGCGGCCGAUAUCAGAUUAGCUAGUUGGUGGGGUAAAAGCUCACCAAGGCGACGAUCUGUAGCGGGUCUGAGAGGAUGAUCCGCCACACUGGAACUGAGACACGGUCCAGACUCCUACGGGAGGCAGCAGUGGGGAAUUUUGGACAAUGGGGGCAACCCUGAUCCAGCCAUGCCGCGUGAGUGAAGAAGGCCUUCGGGUUGUAAAGCUCUUUCAGCCGGGAAGAAAACGCAUUGGUUAAUACCUGAUGUGGAUGACGGUACCGGAAUAAGAAGCACCGGCUAACUACGUGCCAGCAGCCGCGGUAAUACGUAGGGUGCGAGCGUUAAUCGGAAUUACUGGGCGUAAAGCGUGCGCAGGCGGUUUUGUAAGAUAGGCGUGAAAUCCCCGGGCUUAACCUGGGAACUGCGUUUAUGACUGCAAAGCUAGAGUACGGCAGAGGGGGGUGGAAUUCCACGUGUAGCAGUGAAAUGCGUAGAGAUGUGGAGGAACACCAAUGGCGAAGGCAGCCCCCUGGGUCGAUACUGACGCUCAUGCACGAAAGCGUGGGUAGCAAACAGGAUUAGAUACCCUGGUAGUCCACGCCCUAAACGAUGUCAACUAGGUGUUGGGAGGGUAAAACCUUUUAGUACCGGAGCUAACGCGUGAAGUUGACCGCCUGGGGAGUACGGCCGCAAGGUUAAAACUCAAAGGAAUUGACGGGGACCCGCACAAGCGGUGGAUGAUGUGGAUUAAUUCGAUGCAACGCGAAAAACCUUACCUACCCUUGACAUGUCAGGAACUUGCCAGAGAUGGCUUGGUGCUCGAAAGAGAACCUGAACACAGGUGCUGCAUGGCUGUCGUCAGCUCGUGUCGUGAGAUGUUGGGUUAAGUCCCGCAACGAGCGCAACCCUUGUCGUUAAUUGCCAUCAUUUAGUUGGGCACUUUAACGAGACUGCCGGUGACAAACCGGAGGAAGGUGGGGAUGACGUCAAGUCCUCAUGGCCCUUAUGGGUAGGGCUUCACACGUCAUACAAUGGUCGGUACAAAGGGUCGCCAACCCGCGAGGGGGAGCCAAUCCCAGAAAGCCGAUCGUAGUCCGGAUUGCAGGCUGCAACUCGCCUGCAUGAAGUCGGAAUCGCUAGUAAUCGUGGAUCAGCAUGUCACGGUGAAUACGUUCCCGGGUCUUGUACACACCGCCCGUCACACCAUGGGAGCGGG